GAAAUGCGAUAAGUAAUGUGAAUUGCAGAAUUCCGUAAAUCAUCGAAUCUUUGAACGCACAUUGCGCCCUCUGGCAUUCCGGGGGGCAUGCCUGUCCGAGCGUCAUUACGCACCCUCAAGCCCGGCUUGUGUGAUGGGCCCCGGCGUUUCGUUCGCGAGACGGGCCCGAAAGGCAGCGGCGGCGUCGACCCGAUGAGCCCGAGCGUAUGGGGACUUCUGUCACACGUUCGCGGUGCAGACCGGCGCCUGCUUGACUUUUCUGAUUAUCCAGGUUGACCUCGGAUCAGGUAGGGAUACCCGCUGAACUUAAGC
RNAcentral lists this unclassified non-coding RNA (312 nucleotides) under plant metagenome. RNAcentral's name for it is "partial contains 5.8S ribosomal RNA, internal transcribed spacer 2, and large subunit ribosomal RNA". The stretch from base 1 to 105 matches the Rfam family "5.8S ribosomal RNA", at positions 50 to 154 of the family's 154-position model. The record is from RNAcentral.